RNAcentral lists this long non-coding RNA (4906 nucleotides) under Homo sapiens (human). RNAcentral's name for it is "HSALNT0074265". The record is from RNAcentral. Lineage: Eukaryota; Metazoa; Chordata; Mammalia; Primates; Hominidae.
CUUCAUUCCUGCUCCUGCCUCCUGACGAACCUGGUGCUUCCUCAUGUGGUUCUGUGUGGCAUGACAUGUCCCCUUCUCCUGGGAAAUAAAAGAGAAAAGAACCACCUGAGUAAAGGAAAUCUGCAACUUGAACUCACUAAAUAAGUUGCUUUGAUUUUGGAUUCAGAGGGAAAAUGCACAGAUGUGUUAUAUGGGUAAAUCUCAUGUUGUAGGGGUUUGAUAUUCAGAUUAUUUCACCACCCAGGUAAUAAGCAUGGUACCCAAUAGGUAAGUUUUCUGUUCCCACCCUCUUCCCACCCUCAAGUAGGCCCUGGAAUCUAUUGUUCUGUUCUUUGUGUCCAUGUGUACUCAGGGUUUAGUUCCCACUUAUAAGUGAGAACAUGCAGUGUUUUGUUUUCUGUUCCUGCAUUAGUUUGCUUAGGAUAAUGGCCUCCAGCUCCAUACAUGUUGCUGCAAAGAACAUGAUCUCACUCUUGUUUAUGGCUGUAUAAUAUUCCAUGUUGUAUAGGUACCACAUUUGCCUUAUUCUGUCCACUAUUGAUGAUGAUUUAGAUUGAUUCCAUGUAUAUGUUAUUGUAAACAGUGCUGUGAUGAACACAUAUGUGCCUUUGUCUUUAAUAGUAGAAUUAUUUCUAUUCCUUUGGGUAUAUCCCCUGUAAUCCGAUUGCUGAGUCAAAUGGUAGUUCUAUUUUAAGUUUUCCAAGGAAUCUCCAAACUGCUUUCCACAGUGGCUGAACUAAUUCAUAUUACCACUAGUGGUAUGUAAAUGUUCCCUGUUCUCCACAACCUCACCAUCAUCUGAUUUUUUUUUUUACUUUUUAAUAAUAGCCAUUCUGACUGGUAUGAGAUGGUAUCUCAUUAUGAUUUUUAUUUGUAUUUCUGUAAUGAUUAAUGUUGAGCAUUUUUUCAUAUGCUUGUUAGGCCACGUGUAUGUCUUGUUUUGAGAGGUGUCUGUUUAUGUCCUUUGCCCAAUUUUUAAUACUAUUCUUUUUUGCUUGUUAAUUUGUUUAAGUUCCUUAUAGAUUCUGGAUAUUAGACCUCUGUUGAAUGCUAGUUUACAGAUAUUUUCUUACCUCCUGCAGGUUGUCUGUUUACUCUGCUGACAGUUUCAUUUGCUAUGCAGAAGCUCUUUAGUUUAAUUAGGUUCCAUUUGCCAAUUUUCAUUUUUGUUACCAUUGCUUUUAGGGACUUAGUCAUAAUUUAUUUGCCAAGUCUAAUGUCCAGAAUGGUAAUUCCUCUGUUUCUUUCCAGUGUUUUUUUAUAGUUUUAGAUUUCACAUUUAAGUCAUUAAUCCAUCCUGAGUUGAUUUUUGUAUAUGGUGAAGGGAAGGGGUCCAGUUUUAGUCUUCUGCAUAUAGCUAGCACCGUUUACUGAAUGGGAAUCUUUUCCUCACUGCUUGUUUUUGUCAACUUUAUCAAAGAUCAGAUGGUUAUAGGUGUAUGGCUUUGUAUCUGGGAUCUCUAACCUGCUCCAUUGGUCUAUGUGUCUGUUUUCCUACCAGUACCAUACUGUUUUGGUUACUGCAGCCUUGUAAUAUACUUCGAAGUUGGGUAGUAUGAUGCUUCUGGCUUUCUUCUUUUUGCUUAGGAUUGCUUAUGCUAUUCAGUGUCUUUUUCAGUUCCAUGUGACUUUUAGUAUAGUUUUUUCUAAUAUUCAAUUACUUUGAAUGUUGUUCAUAAUAUGCAGUAAGGCUAAAAAAUAAGUUUCAAAGUGGAAUGUAUGGUAUGAUCUGAGUUUUAAAUAGUAUAUAAAAUAUAAAUUCAUAUAUAAGGGGCAAAAAAUGUAGGGUAAAAAAAGAUAUGAAAAUACCCAAAUGGUAACAAAAUCACAGGCAAUCUUUACUAUGCCUGCUCAUUUUUCUAUAAUAUGUGUGUGUGUAUAUAUAUGCAUACAUAUAUCACUUUCAUAAAAAGUUUUUUAAUAAAAAGUUACCUUUAGAAUAGUGAGAACUUACUUUAUUUUGUAACCUACUUUAAAAUUAGCAUAUUUUAAUUUUAUUGGCAGUGUUUCAUUUAUCAACACCAAGCAAGGAAAUCUACAUCAAGGAAAUAACAAAAGUCAUUUGCUAGUUACCAAAAAUUACACUAUUACUUUGAGAAACUCCUUAUUUAUUUGUUUGUUUUUAGAGAUAAUGUCUUAGUCUGUCUCUCAGGCUGCAGUGCAGUGGUGCGAUCAUAGCUCACUGCAGCCUUGAACUCCUGAGCUAAAGCAAUCCUCCAGCCUCUGCCACCCCAGUAGUUAGGAUUACAGGAAUGUGAGAAUGGCCUAAUGCAGAAAAUUGGUUCCAAGAAAUGGGGCAUUACCACGAAGAUAUUAGAAAAUGUGAAAGCAGCUUUGGAACUGUGGAACAGGCAGAGGUUGGAAGAGUGCCAAGAGCUCAGAAGCUAGGAAGAUCAGGGAAAGUUUGGAACUUUUUAGAGACUGCUUAAAUGGUUAUGACCAAAAUGCUGAUAGUGAUAUAGAUAAUGUAGGCCAGGCUGAUGAGAUCUCACAUGGAAAUGAGGAACUUAUUGGGAACUGGAGCAAAGGUCACAUGUGUUAUGCCUUAGCAAAGACCCUGGCUGCAUCGUGUUCAUGCCCCAGGAAUCUGUGGAAGUUUGAACCUAAGAACAAUGACCUAGGGUAUCUGGUAGAAGAAAUUUCUAAGCAGCAAAGUGUUUAAGAUGUGGUGUGGGUGUUUCUAACACACUCUACUCAUCUGCAGGAGUAAAGAAAUGAGUUAAAGUUGGAACUUAUAUUUAAAAGAGAAGCAGAGUGUAGACGUUUAAAAAAUUUGCAGCCUGGCCAUGUGGUAGAGAAAGAAACAGCUUUCUAGGGAGAGGAAUUCAAGCAGGAUAUGCAGCCACCACUUGCUGGAGAAAUUUGCAUAACUAAAAAAAGGCAACUGCUAAUAGGCAAGACAAUGGGAAAAAGGCCUUGAAGUCAUUUCAGAGAUCUAAGAGGCAGCCCCCUCAUCAUAGGCCUUGAGGCCUAAGAGGACAGCAUGGUUUCCUGGGUCAGGCCCAGGGCCCACUGCUCUGCACAUCUUUGGGACACUGUCCCAUUCAUGCUGCUGUUCCAGCACCAGCCCUGGCUCAAAAGGGCAGAGGUACACCUCUGGUCACUGCUUAUUUGGGUUGCCAGAGGGUCAUGAGCAAUGGUAAGUUGUACGUUUCCUGAGGCCUCCUUAGAAGCUGAGCAGAUGCUAGUAUCAUGCUUCCUGUACAGCCAGCAGAACCAUAAGCCAAUUAAGCCUCUUCUCUGUAUAAAUUGCCCGGUCUUGGGUAUUUCUUUAUAGCAAUGUGAGAAUAGCGUAAUACAUCUAGCUAAUUUUUUAAAACAAAUUUUUUAUAGAGAUAGGGUUUGUGUUGUCCAGGCUGAUCUCAAACGCCUGGCCUCAAGCUGUUUUCCUGCCUCAGUGUCCCAACAUGGUGAGAUCAUAGGUGUGAGCCACUACACCUGCGGAUAAACUUAUCACAAUAAAAAUUUGAUAUGAAUUGUAAAAUAAAUUAAGUAGAAAAUUUAAAAAACCUUUUUCUAAAUGAAGAGAAAAUGGGUACAUAUAAUUCUUUUUUUACCCACAUUAAUAAUUUUACAGUAACCAAGAAUUGGCUGCUAAAUGUCUGAAUGUUUCUUUAUAUGAUUUCCUAAAAUGUUGUUUUAAAUAUAUAGGCAAAAUUUGUUCUUGCUACACACCUUUUUUGCUAUAUAAGUAUACAUUUCAGGAAGGAAAUUAGAGUUUCAACCAAAUUCAAUAGUUUUUCUCCUUCUCUUUCUUCUUGCUAACUUCAUUAUAAAACCUAAGUUAAUACUAUAUUUUAGCAUUGUGGAGAAACACCAAAUCCACAAAAUUUAGCCUGUCUAUAUAUGCCUUAACAAAAUCAAAUAAAACUUAACAUAUGAACUGUGAUUUCUUUUAAAACAGAUGUAGUGAAAUGGUUAUAUAUCUUUCUUAGGCUAUGUUGGAAAAAGUGCUGGAAUUAAAUUCAGAUACUGGAAUUAAGACUCUUCAAGACCCUUCAUUACCAUAAUCACUUUGACUUCUGAGAUUUAAGAUGUAAUGACUGACCUGCUAGAAUUUGAACUUGUGUGGGGCCUGUAGCCCUCUCUUUUGGCUGAUUUCUCCCUUUUGAAAUGGGAAUGUUUAUACCCCCAUUGUAUCUUGGAAAUAAGUAACUUGUAUCAGAAUAAAUACUCAAUAUUUAUAAAAUAAAUGGAUAACAUAUUAAUGUACCCAACAUAAUUGACAUUUACUACUCAACAUAAAAUUAUAUUUAAGCUGAGAUGGGGAGGAUGAGGAGCCAUACCUAUAGAACGUGCCACAGAACAAUCUAAGUAGAGGGAAAAGAAAUCAUAGUUAAAAUUGGAACACACUCUGGGUAUGAAGAACUGAAAGGAGGCUAGGGUGGCCAGAGGGUUGUGAGCAAGAACCAAAUGCUGUGAGACAGAAGGAAAAUUAGGCAACUGUCAGAUCAUCUAGAGUCUAAUAUAACUGGUGCAAAGACUUUAGAUAUUUACAUAUAACAGGAAGCCAAGAAAAGGUUUUAAGCAAGGAAGUUAACUUGUCAGAUAUAUGUUGUUUAAAGAAAUGUAUACUGCCUAUUAUGUGAAAUAAUCUAGGAGAGCUAAAAAUGGGAAUAGUUAACAUACUUUGACAGUGAGUUGGUCUAGGAUAGUGCGAAGAGCUGGUGGGAAGAUAGUGAGGAUAAUGGGAAGAGCUUGAGAUACAUUUUGAAGGUAGAACCAAUAGGACUUGCUGAUAUGUUAAAUGUGAGAUAUGUGACAAAGAAAGGAAUCUAGGGUCUCUUUUGGACAGGAACCAGCUGAUUCAGAAAUGCUGAGAUGGGAAGAACAGGAAGAAGAGCAUGGAGGUGGGAUUCACUCUGCUAACUUCAAGAAUAUGAGAUAGAGGCCAGGCGCGGUGGCU